AAGCAGGUAGCAUAAAUAUUGUAUUUAGUUUCGGCCUAAAAGGCGGUUGUAGUAUCAACCCUUGCAUA
RNAcentral lists this transfer RNA (68 nucleotides) under Loxosomella aloxiata. RNAcentral describes it as "tRNA-Arg". The record is from RNAcentral. Lineage: Eukaryota; Metazoa; Entoprocta; Loxosomatidae.